GACGAACGCUGGCGGCGUGCUUAACACAUGCAAGUCGAACGGAAAGGCCUCUUUCGGGUGGUACUCUCGUGGCGCACGGGGGAGUAACACGCGAGUAUCCUCCGCUCUACCCUUUGGUAUCUCCUGGAAACACGGGCUAAUACACGGGAGAGGCGCUCCCUGCGCGGUGGGGGUGGUAGAAUUUCUCCGGGGUUGGGGGUAGACUCGCGGUUUCUCAGCGUGUUGGUGGGGUAGUGUCAUCCCAAGGCUUUCGGGGGUCGACGAGGUGAGAGUGUGAACGGGGACAUUGGGACUGAGAUACGGCCCAGACUCCUACGGGAGGCAGAAGUGGGGAAUAUUGCACAAUGGGUGGGAGCCUGAUGCAGCAACGCCGUGUGCGGGGUGACGGCCUUCGGGUUGGAAACAGCUCUCGCUCAUGAGAAAGCGUGGUGUGACGGUAGUGGGUAAAGGAACACCGGCUAACUACCUG
This 469-nucleotide ribosomal RNA is filed under the name uncultured bacterium. RNAcentral's name for it is "partial 16S ribosomal RNA". It matches the Rfam family "Bacterial small subunit ribosomal RNA", at positions 28 to 507 of the family's 1533-position model. The record is from RNAcentral.